GUCCACACUGUAAACGAUGAUUACUCGAUGUGUGCGAUACACAGCACGCGUCUUAGCAAAGCGAUAAGUAAUCCACCUGGGAGUACGCCGGCAACGGUGAAACUCAAAGGAAUUGACGGGGUCCGCACAAGCGGUGGAGCAUGUGGUUUAAUUCGAUGAUACGCGAGGAACCUUACCUGGGCUAGAAUGCCUUUGACAGGAUCAGAGAUGGUUUUUCCGCAAGGACAAGGAGCAAGGUGCUGCAUGGCUGUCGU
RNAcentral lists this ribosomal RNA (254 nucleotides) under uncultured bacterium. RNAcentral's name for it is "partial 16S ribosomal RNA". It matches the Rfam family "Bacterial small subunit ribosomal RNA", at positions 793 to 1055 of the family's 1533-position model. The record is from RNAcentral.